CUCUUCUUGUUUAUUUUUUGAAGUAUGACCUGCCCACUGAGUUUUUGAAGGGCCGCGGUAUUUUGACCGUGCAAAGGUAGCAUAAUCAUUAGUUCUUUAAUUGUGGACUGGUAUGAAUGGUUUGACGAGGCACUGACUGUCUUUAUUGGGAUUUAAUAAUUGAAUUUGGGUUUUGGGUAAAAAUACCUAAAUGUUGUUAUGGGACGAGAAGACCCUAUAGAGUUUUAUAUAAUUUUGGUUUGAUGUUGUUUGUUUAUUGGUUUGUUUACUUUAUUAUAUUUUGUUGGGGUGAUGGGAAGAUAUUUUUAACUCUUCUUUAAUUUUUAUACUUGUUUGUAUAUUUUUGAUCCUGUAUUAUUGAUUUUAAGAUUAAAUUACCUUAGGGAUAACAGCGUAAUCUUUUCUGAGAGUUCUUAUUGACGAAAGGGGUUGCGACCUCGAUGUUGGAUUAAGAUGAAUUUUUGGUGUAGAAGCUUUAAAUAGUAUUAUUAGGUCUGUUCGACCUUUAAAAUCUU
RNAcentral lists this ribosomal RNA (515 nucleotides) under Kalotermes sp. MM2013. RNAcentral describes it as "partial 16S ribosomal RNA". It matches the Rfam family "Bacterial large subunit ribosomal RNA", at positions 1831 to 2597 of the family's 2925-position model. Lineage: Eukaryota; Metazoa; Arthropoda; Insecta; Blattodea; Kalotermitidae. The record is from RNAcentral.